Molecule: transfer RNA, 77 nt
Filed under: Methylibium petroleiphilum PM1
Lineage: Bacteria; Pseudomonadati; Pseudomonadota; Betaproteobacteria; Burkholderiales; Sphaerotilaceae
Description: tRNA-Arg
Source: RNAcentral
CUGCCCGCGAUGCCGGCGUCCUGCUGCACACGGAUCUCGCGGCCGGCCAGGCUGCGCAGCGUCGGUUCGUCGUCGGG